CCUACGGGAGGCAGCAGUGGGGAAUAUUGCACAAUGGGGGAAACCCUGAUGCAGCGACGCCGCGUGAGUGAAGAAGGAUUUAGGUAUGUAAAGCUCUAUCAGCAGGGAAGAAAAUGACGGUACCUGAGUAAGAAGCCCCGGCUAACUACGUGCCAGCAGCCGCGGGAAUACGUGGGGGGCAAGCGUUAUCCGGAUUUACUGGGUGUAAAGGGAGCGUAGACGGGAGCACAAGUCUGGAGUGAAAUGCCUGGGCUUAACCCCGGAACUGCGUUUGAAACUGUGCAGCUAGAGUGCAGGAGAGGUAAGUGGAAUGCGUGGUGUAGCGGUGAAAUGCGUAGAUAUUAGGAAGAACUCCAGUGGCGAAGGCGGCUUACUGGAGCGUAACUGACGUUGAGGCUCGAAAGCGUGGGGAGCAAACAGGAUUAGAUACCCGUGUAGUC
Molecule: ribosomal RNA, 440 nt
Filed under: uncultured bacterium
Lineage: Bacteria
Description: partial 16S ribosomal RNA
Rfam family: Bacterial small subunit ribosomal RNA
Source: RNAcentral